UACGUAUGGUGCGAACGUUGUUCGGAAUUACUGGGCAUAAAGAGCACGUAGGCGGUUGAGCAAGUCCGUUGUGAAAUCCCCCGGCUUAACCGGGGAACUGCAGCGGAUACUACUUGACUUGAGUGCAGGAGGGGAGAGUGGAAUUCCAGGUGGAGCGGUGAAAUGCGUAGAUAUCUGGAGGAACGCCGGUGGCGAAAGCGACUCUCUGGUCUGUUACUGACGCUGAGGUGCGAAAGCUAGGGGAGCAAACGGG
RNAcentral lists this ribosomal RNA (253 nucleotides) under uncultured bacterium. Its description in RNAcentral is "partial 16S ribosomal RNA". It matches the Rfam family "Bacterial small subunit ribosomal RNA", at positions 524 to 776 of the family's 1533-position model. The record is from RNAcentral.